GUAGGUGGCAAGCGUUGUCCGGAAUUAUUGGGCGUAAAGCGCGCGCAGGUGGUUCCUUAAGUCUGAUGUGAAAGCCCCCGGCUCAACCGGGGAGGGUCAUUGGAAACUGGGGAACUUGAGUGCAGGAGAGGAAAGUGGAAUUCCACGUGUAGCGGUGAAAUGCGUAGAUAUGUGGAGGAACACCAGUGGCGAAGGCGACUUUCUGGCCUGUAACUGACACUGAGGCGCGAAAGCGUGGGGAGCAAACAGGGAUUAGAUACCCUGGUAGUCCACGCCGUAAACGAUGAGUGCUAAGUGUUGGGGGGGGUUUCCCGCCCCGUCAGUGCUGCAGCUAACGCAUUAAGCACUCCGCCUGGGGAGUACGGUCGCAAGACUG
This 376-nucleotide ribosomal RNA is filed under the name uncultured organism. RNAcentral describes it as "partial 16S ribosomal RNA". It matches the Rfam family "Bacterial small subunit ribosomal RNA", at positions 527 to 896 of the family's 1533-position model. The record is from RNAcentral.